GGGUGGCACGCCUUGCAGGAGGGGGCAGCCAGGGACAGGGAGCAGCAGGAUUGCUAGCGGUGUGUUUCUGGCCGUGCAUCUCCAGACUUCUGCAUUUCUGUGGCAGCAGCCCAGCCCGAGGCUCAGGGUGAGGAGGCAUGCCUGGGCAUGUCUGGUGGGGCAGGCUGGUGAGGACGCCACUUGCAUGAAGACAGCAGGAUCCCUGGAGCCGAGACUGGACUCGGAGGCGUGGCUCACAAAUCCUCGAGACCCCUGAGUCACCCCUCAAGUUAAACAGGAAAACAGCAAAUUGAUUUAAUCUACAGUACCCCUCAGGUUCACUACAAUAUGUGGGCACCUAGAUACAUCAUAGCGAAAAUGCAAGUUCCUAUAGCUCCAUAUCUAGAGUUCUUGGUGAAGUCUAACUUUAAUACUGGAAAACUUCAGGCGCUCUGGCCCUCUAGAUGCCCAGCCACCCCAGCCUUGUCAUCUGGAGUGACCAGACCCUCUCUGGGAGGUGUGUGGCUGGUGGUUACGAACUCAGCCUCAAACCAAACCAUGUGGGUUUAUUUCCUGCCUUGACCAGCUCUGAGUCCACAUCCCUGAGCCCAGACCCUGUGCUAAACUUGCCUUGACUCCGCCCCUUGCACUUCUGGGGACUCAAAUUUUGUUCCUGAGCUCUAUUUCCUUGCUGAAUCCCCUCUCUCAGAAAGCCUGCCUGAACCCCUUAUUUCUUGUUUAGAAAAUUUGUCUCCUAACCUAGGAGUUGGCAAACCAUGGCCUGUGAGCCAUAUCUGGCCCACCGCCUGUUCUUGUAAAUAAAGUUUUAUUGCGACACAGCCAUUCUCAUGCAUUUACACAUGGUCUGUGGCUGCUUUCCUGGCACAACAGCAGCUGAGUAGUUGUGACAGAGGAAAUAUGGCCCUCCAGUCUAAAACAUUCACUAUCUGGCCCUUGACUGAAAAAGUUUAGUGUUCCUUGUCUGUGUGGGUUGAAUUAUGUCCUCUGAAAAAGAUGUGUUGAAUCUCCAGUACCUCAGCAUGUGGCCUUGUUUGGAAAUAGCAUUGUUAUAGAAGUAAUCACAUUAAAAUGAGGUCAUGAGGGUGAGCCCAAAUCCGAUAUGACUACUGUCCUUAUAAAAAUGGGAAAUUUGGACACAGAGUGUAUUAGCUAUGUUUUCUUAUUUUCUGCAUUUUUGAUGCUCUGGCAUCUGGGGCUUUGGUGACUGGAGUGGGACUGCCCCUCCCAGGGCUAGCCAGUCCCUAGAGAUAGCAAAUGACUUGCACAGAACCACACCCUUCAUGCAUCCUCACCCAUCUGGAGCCCAUUCUCCAAACCACCUCCUCUGUCUGGCUCUUACGCUCCAGGAGGCAAUGGCAAUAUUCCUAAUCACCCAAGGGCAGCAUGGGACCACUAGGAGCACCCCCACAGCCCAGAGCCUGCUGACAUUAUUCAACCCAUCCAAUCCGAAACCUGCUCAGCUUGCGCACCUUGUUUUCCUCCUUCCUUCCCAUGAAAACCACAAUAAGGACUCCUGCCCACACUUUCUCCUCGCUCCUUCUGCCUCCUCACCAGCGCUGCUGCUUCCCUCUGUGGCCCUGCGUGGCAUGCUGUGCCCCCUCCUCGUGGGAACUAUGAGUAACAAACUAUCUUUUCAAAGACAAUCGUCUCCUGAUCUGUUGGGCUCACCAUACCUGAAUAAAACCAAAAUCACAGACACAUUUCAAAACACAGAGACAGAGACACUCAGAGGGAAAGUAACAUAAAGACACAGAGAAAGCGCCAUGUGAAGACGGAAGAGUGAAGUGAUGUAUCUGUAAGCCAAAGAACACUCAAGGCUACCAGAAGCUGGAAGAAAAGCGUGGAACAGUUCCUUCCCUAGCACCUUCAGAGGGAGCACGGCCCUGCCAACACCUUGAUUUUGGACUUCUGGCCUCUGGAAUGUGAGACAAUAAAUUUCUGUUGUUUGAAGCCACUAAGUUUGUAGUAUUUUGUUAUGGCAGCCUAGGAGGCCAAUACACCACCUAACCAAUUAUUUUGUUUUGUUUUCUUUAUUUCUCGUUGUUCUCCUAUUGACACUUUUGUAUGGUGUCUUACUGUCAUUUCAUGGUGACCCUCACACACAUUAUUGCAUUUGGGUCUUGUGAGGUAGGUAGGCCAAUGGGCAGCCCGUUUAACCCAAGACCGAGGCUCAGAGAUUUCGGGGCACUUGCACAAGUUCACCCCACAAGGCAGUAAAUGGGGAAAAAAACUAGUUUCUACUGAGGGCUCGUUAUGUGCUUUCCUCACAUUGUCUCAGGACACCUAUACAACCGACCUGAGGGUUAGUUGCUGAGCAAUUAUACUAAUAAUCAGACAACCAUCAAUGUGAAAAGGAUGCUUUCUUCUCUCCUCACUUCCCCCUGUCUCUACUUGGCAUCUCAAGGCAGAGUGUGAAGGAGGUCAGACAUCCACAGCACUGUACCGUCCCGAGUGGAACCAGCCUUCACUGACUGGACCACCUAGGGAAGUGGUUUCCUCAGAGGGCAAUACCGAACCUUCCAGUGUGUAGUAAAACAGGACAAGAGAACUCCAGAGACCCCUUCUGCUGCCCCCAUGGGCUGUGUGGGGGUCCGAGGAGGGGAGAGUGGGGAGAGGUCUGAGGCUAUUCCAGCGUGUAACGCUGGCGUGAAAGCUGGAGCUGGUUCUGGUCAAGGCUUGGUCUGGACGCCGUGCAUGCCCCCGACCUCUGACGCCAGGUGCCCCUUGAAUCUCCUGAGGUCCCUGCAGCUGUGUUCUCUGUUUCUUCCUUGUCCAGUUGUUACAGCUUCUUCCACA
Equus caballus (horse) is the source of this 2796-nucleotide long non-coding RNA. The record is from Ensembl. Lineage: Eukaryota; Metazoa; Chordata; Mammalia; Perissodactyla; Equidae.